GAUCAUGGCUCAGAUUGAACGCUGGCGGCAUGCCUUACACAUGCAAGUCGAACGGCAGCACGGGAGCUUGCUCCUGGUGGCGAGUGGCGAACGGGUGAGUAAUACAUCGGAACGUACCCCGAAGUGGGGGAUAACGUAGCGAAAGUUACGCUAAUACCGCAUAUUCUGUGAGCAGGAAAGAGGGGGAUCGCAAGACCUCUUGCUUUAGGAGCGGCCGAUGUCGGAUUAGCUAGUUGGUGAGGUAAAGGCUCACCAAGGCGACGAUCCGUAGCGGGUCUGAGAGGAUGAUCCGCCACACUGGGACUGAGACACGGCCCAGACUCCUACGGGAGGCAGCAGUGGGGAAUUUUGGACAAUGGGCGCAAGCCUGAUCCAGCCAUGCCGCGUGAGUGAAGAAGGCCUUCGGGUUGUAAAGCUCUUUCGGUGGGGAAGAAAUUGCACAGGAUAAUACCUUGUGUAGAUGACGGUACCCGCAUAAGAAGCACCGGCUAACUACGUG
This 499-nucleotide ribosomal RNA is filed under the name uncultured bacterium. Its description in RNAcentral is "bacterial SSU rRNA". It matches the Rfam family "Bacterial small subunit ribosomal RNA", at positions 15 to 507 of the family's 1533-position model. The record is from RNAcentral.